Molecule: ribosomal RNA, 207 nt
Filed under: uncultured bacterium
Lineage: Bacteria
Description: partial 16S ribosomal RNA
Rfam family: Bacterial small subunit ribosomal RNA
Source: RNAcentral
CACGUAGGCGGACUGUUUAGUCAGAGGUGAAAUCCCGGGGCUCAACCUCGGAAUUGCCUUUGAUACUGACAGUCUUGAGUCCGAGAGAGGUGAGUGGAAUUCCGAGUGUAGAGGUGAAAUUCGUAGAUAUUCGGAGGAACACCAGCGGCGAAGGCGGCUCACUGGCUCGGUACUGACGCUGAGGUGCGAAAGCGUGGGGAGCAAACA